CGAGUGAAGCGGCAACAGCUCAAAUUUGAAAUCUGGCCCUCGGGUCCGAGUUGUAAUUUGUAGAGGAUGCUUUUGGUGAGGUACCUUCCGAGUUCCCUGGAACGGGACGCCAUAGAGGGUGAGAGCCCCGUCUGGUCGGAUACCAAUCCUCUGUAAAGCUCCUUCGACGAGUCGAGUAGUUUGGGAAUGCUGCUCUAAAUGGGAGGUAUAUGUCUUCUAAAGCUAAAUAUUGGCCAGAGACCGAUAGCGCACAAGUAGAGUGAUCGAAAGAUGAAAAGCACUUUGAAAAGAGGGUUAAACAGUACGUGAAAUUGUUGAAAGGGAAGCGCUUGUGACCAGACUUGGGCCCGGUUAAUCAUCCAGCGUUCUCGCUGGUGCACUUGGCCGGCCCAGGCCAGCAUCAGUUCGGUGUGGGGGAUAAAGGCGGCGGGAAUGUGGCUCCUCCGGGAGUGUUAUAGCCCACCGUGUAAUACCCUGUGCUGGACUGAGGUUCGCGCAUUCGCAAGGAUGCUGGCGUAAUGGUCAUUAGCGACCCGUCUUGAAACACGGACCAAGGAGUCGUCUUCGUAUGCGAGUGUUCGGGUGUUAAACCCCUACGCGUAAUGAAAGUGAACGCAGGUGAGAGCUUCGGCGCAUCAUCGACCGAUCCUGAUGUUCUCGGAUGGAUUUGAGUAAGAGCAUACGGGGCCGGACCCGAAAGAAGGUGAACUAUGCCUGUAUAGGGUGAAGCCAGAGGAAACUCUGGUGGAGGCUCGCAGCGGUUCUGACGUGCAAAUCGAUCGUCAAAUAUGGGCAUGGGGGCG
This 803-nucleotide ribosomal RNA is filed under the name Melanospora sp. 795_3_N01. RNAcentral describes it as "eukaryotic LSU rRNA". It matches the Rfam family "Eukaryotic large subunit ribosomal RNA", at positions 90 to 925 of the family's 3401-position model. Lineage: Eukaryota; Fungi; Ascomycota; Sordariomycetes; Coronophorales; Ceratostomataceae. The record is from RNAcentral.